AGUUAGGGUGAUCCCAGGUUAGAGGCGCCCAGGCUAGAAGGGCCCGGCUCUUGGCCCUCGCUGUCCUGCCCGCUGUCGCCGCUCUUUGGCGCCCCCGCAACAGCUCCCUCUCAGCAGGACGCGGAAAGGUCCUCUGUGGACAGUGAGCUGGACUGACCUCACAACCCUCCAGUAUGUGCAGUGGCUGAGAAUGACCCACUCCCAGCAACUUUCUGCAGCCAAGGGGUUAAUCCUCCCUGAGCUGAAGCCUGACAUGGGGGCUUGUAUGUGUCCAGGAAGUCUAGUGAAUUCGACCAUGAAUCCAGACAUGGCCAGUGGCUAAAUCCUGUGGGAAGACACUGUGCUUCUCUCUGACCCAUGAACACUCUGCUAGUCAAGCUCUCUGUCACAAAGACAACUUGAAGAGACAGAGUGGACCUCACAGAAGAUACCAUCGUCACUCUUACCAAUGCAACUGUGGUGAACAGGACCACUAUUAUUCCUUAGAUCAAAAGGACAGCACAUUCAACAGCAUCCUCAUGGCAUGCCAGCAAUUUGCAUAGGAUGUUCACAAUUAAACUUUGAUUAUCUAGUGCUUUGUGGAUGUAUUAUGUAUUACAGAAAUCUAUUUGCAACAUGGA
This is a long non-coding RNA of Homo sapiens (human), 620 nucleotides long. Ensembl annotates it as long intergenic non-protein coding RNA 1607. The record is from Ensembl. Lineage: Eukaryota; Metazoa; Chordata; Mammalia; Primates; Hominidae.